RNAcentral lists this unclassified non-coding RNA (206 nucleotides) under fungal sp. Its description in RNAcentral is "partial internal transcribed spacer region". The stretch from base 1 to 46 matches the Rfam family "Eukaryotic small subunit ribosomal RNA", at positions 1786 to 1831 of the family's 1831-position model. Lineage: Eukaryota; Fungi. The record is from RNAcentral.
AAGUCGUAACAAGGUUUCCGUAGGUGAACCUGCGGAAGGAUCAUUACAAAUCAUUAUGCUUACCGCCUUUAGGGGAGGUAUAGCACAUGUGCCCGGACUAUUAUCUGCAAAGAUAGUAGUCUGUGACAUUUACGCUUGUUGUGUUUGACAGAGUUAUAUUAUACAUAUAAAAUAGACAACUUUUAACAAUGGAUCUCUUGGCUCUU